CUCAACCUGGGAAUGGCAUUCGAUACUGUCCAGCUAGAGUCUGGUAGAGGGAAGUGGAAUUUCCGGUGUAGCGGUGAAAUGCGUAGAUAUCGGAAGGAACACCAGUGGCGAAGGCGACUUCCUGGACCAAGACUGACGCUGAGGUGCGAAAGCGUGGGUAGCAAACAGGAUUAGAUACCCUGGUAGUCCACGCCGUAAACGUUGAGAACUAGCCGUUGGACCCAUUUAAGGGUUUAGCGGCGCAGCUAACGCAAUAAGUUCUCCGCCUGGGGAGUACGGCCGCAAGGCUAAAACUCAAAGGAAUUGACGGGGGCCCGCACAAGCGGUGGAGCAUGUGGUUUAAUUCGAUGCAACGCGAAGAACCUUACCUGCCCUUGACAUCCUCGGAACUUGGUAGAGAUACCUUGGUGCCUUCGGGAGCCG
RNAcentral lists this ribosomal RNA (423 nucleotides) under uncultured Gammaproteobacteria bacterium. RNAcentral's name for it is "bacterial SSU rRNA". It matches the Rfam family "Bacterial small subunit ribosomal RNA", at positions 608 to 1029 of the family's 1533-position model. The record is from RNAcentral. Lineage: Bacteria; Pseudomonadati; Pseudomonadota; Gammaproteobacteria.